This 1405-nucleotide long non-coding RNA is filed under the name Equus caballus (horse). Its description in RNAcentral is "lncRNA (ENSECAG00000058061.1)". The record is from RNAcentral. Lineage: Eukaryota; Metazoa; Chordata; Mammalia; Perissodactyla; Equidae.
AAUAAAUGUAAGCUGAAUGAAGUGUUAGGUUGGAAGGAAUCCCACUCAGCUAGGAUAACCUCUUUUUGCCCGUAUGCCUUUCUUUCUUCUUCCAGACUGCAAUUUGGAAGCAAUGACUGGAGCUCCAGCAGUUAUCUUGUGUUAUGAGGUCCAGUGAUGCUGAACAUCCUGCAAUCUUGGGAAGAUUCCAUACAACAAAAAGUUGUCUGGCUCAAAAUGCUGAGAGUGCCUUGAAUGAGGAUCUGGAGAAAGGACGAGCACAGUGCUGGGUGGAGAGGCCGAAGCUUCUGGAGAGAGGACACUGAGCUGAUGCCUACAGGAGGCUCCUUUGGAAAAAUGGUAACAGCCCCAAGAAGCUGAAAGAACAACAGAAUUUCCUUUCCUCCAAUCAGAUCCAGUAUUAUAAUCAUCUUGCACCAGUUGAGGACGGAUACCCAACCAUCACUGCUGAGAAGAUAAUUAGGAGAUAAUGUCAGUGGCAGCUAAACUUGUCAGAGCAGAGUGGUCUCCUGCCGCUCCCCGAGUGCUGAGCGUGGAUGCAGGAAAUGCGGGGGGAGUGAAGUCCUUAGUGGAGAUAAAUGUGGAGGAAGAGCCAACUAUUUCGUUGCCACUGAGGAGAUGAUCAUCUUGCAGCAAUAUUCUGCCAGUGGCAUAUCCUACCAAAUGCCCAUCUCGGCCCCCCUUGAACUGCUUUACAUAGCUAUGAGCGGAGGGGGGCGUCGCUGAUUAUUACAACGCACAGCUAAGAUAAAGGAGCAGCUAAUUGAAUUUAAUUCACUGAGGAGGCAACCAAUUUUGUGCCGAAGCUUAACUUCUGGAUGGUAAAUAUUUUGCACUAGAUGCUCAUCGCCUGAAAACUGAAUGCCAACUGUUUUUGCAAGACAGACCGCGUUGUUGAAGGGCAGAACGCUGGGCAGUCAGGGAACAGCUGGCAGGGGACCCGAGGCCUGGGCUCUUGCCUGUGUUAGUGGGUUGGCCUGCUCACCGUGCUGCCAGGGCCUGCUGCAUGAGGGACACAUGCGUGACAGGGACCAGGGUUUGCCAGGCAGAUUUGUGAUGAGACUCUAGAUUCGAAUUUAGAUUUGCCGAAGUAAACAAAAAUGCAACCCUCGUUUUUCACUGUAUGUGACAGGCUAGUAGAGUGUUCUGGAAUGUGUUUGUGUGUGUGUGUUGGGGGGGGGGGCCCACGCGUUAUGCUUAUUUAUGGAAUCACUGUAUUCCUUCAGAUUUUAGGGAGUAUGCGAUACCACGUAUGUAAACUUUGUCGCCAGUGGUCAGCAGUUGGCAGUUGGCUGUGCCUUCAGUGUGUUUCUUGGGUGGGGAUUGUUUACUCCCUCUCCUCUUUUUUCUAUUUCUUCCCCACUUUCAUUUGUUCCAUUUCAGAGCUGACCAUAUAGCAUCCCAG